RNAcentral lists this non-coding RNA (25 nucleotides) under Rattus norvegicus (Norway rat). Lineage: Eukaryota; Metazoa; Chordata; Mammalia; Rodentia; Muridae. The record is from RNAcentral.
UGUCAUAAGCUCUGGCUGGGGUUGC